UACGAAGGGGGCUAGCGUUGCUCGGAAUCACUGGGCGUAAAGCGCACGUAGGCGGAUUGCUAAGUCAGGGGUGAAAUCCUGGAGCUCAACUCCAGAACUGCCUUUGAUACUGAAGAUCUUGAGUUCGGGAGAGGUGAGUGGAACUGCGAGUGUAGAGGUGAAAUUCGUAGAUAUUCGCAAGAACACCAGUGGCGAAGGCGGCUCACUGGACUGGUAUUGACGCUGAGGUGCGAAAGCGUGGGGAGCAAACAGG
Molecule: ribosomal RNA, 253 nt
Filed under: uncultured bacterium
Lineage: Bacteria
Description: partial 16S ribosomal RNA
Rfam family: Bacterial small subunit ribosomal RNA
Source: RNAcentral